UCCCGGAGAGAAAGGCGACCCAAACCUUGAAGCACCGUGGACAGACCUACAGCUUCCGAGAGACCCUAUCAUCAACACCAUCCAAAAGAAACACAUCAUGGAGCCUCAAACCCGUUCAACAUCGCCUCACCGGCAGCACGAGGAGGAGUCCAACCCUCCUAACCCGGGGACCGUGUACACCCUUUUAACCCACCACACAAGAAAGGCAGUGAGACAUAUCAGGCACACUUCCUCCGAUAAAGACGACCUUCGAACUAGUAAGAAUACCGAGUACCAAACUAACCCCAGCCCACACCCACCAGACUGUACCUCUUUCGCUGAGACCACACUUCCAAAGAUGACGCCUUUAUUGCGGGAAAGAGAGAGACCAGCACGCUGCCACAGUCCAGAACUCGACUCUGGAAGACGGAGCUCACCAAUGAGACGCAGAUGAAGUCUCAAGAACUCGUCACGCGCUGCCAUAGGCAACUCAUAAGCUCGGGCGACAACACCAAGAGAAAAACCACCCC
RNAcentral lists this long non-coding RNA (509 nucleotides) under Brassica napus (rape). RNAcentral's name for it is "long non-coding RNA (BNAP_LNC016527)". The record is from RNAcentral. Lineage: Eukaryota; Viridiplantae; Streptophyta; Magnoliopsida; Brassicales; Brassicaceae.